UGGCUCAGUCAGUAGAGCAUGAGACUCUCGAUCUCAGGGGAGUGAGUUUGAGCCCCAC
This 58-nucleotide transfer RNA is filed under the name Mustela putorius furo (domestic ferret). It matches the Rfam family "tRNA", at positions 8 to 63 of the family's 71-position model. From Rfam's summary of the family: Transfer RNA (tRNA) molecules are approximately 80 nucleotides in length. Their secondary structure includes four short double-helical elements and three loops (D, anti-codon, and T loops). Further hydrogen bonds mediate the characteristic L-shaped molecular structure. tRNAs have two regions of fundamental functional importance: the anti-codon, which is responsible for specific mRNA codon recognition, and the 3' end, to which the tRNAs corresponding amino acid is attached (by aminoacyl-tRNA synthetases). tRNAs cope with the degeneracy of the genetic code in two manners: having more than one tRNA (with a specific anti-codon) for a particular amino acid; and 'wobble' base-pairing, i.e. permitting non-standard base-pairing at the 3rd anti-codon position. Lineage: Eukaryota; Metazoa; Chordata; Mammalia; Carnivora; Mustelidae. The record is from Rfam by way of RNAcentral.